UACGGUGGGUGCAAGCGUUAAUCGGACUCAUUGGGCGUAAAGAGCAUGUAGGCGGAGUGGAAAGUUAGAUGUGAAAGCACGGGGCUCAACUCCGGAUCCGCAUCUAAAACUACCAUUCUGGAGGAUGGACGGAGAAAAGGGAAUUCCACGUGUAGCGGUGAAAUGCGUAGAUAUGUGGAAGAACACCGGUGGCGAAGGCGCUUUUCUAGUUUAUUCCUGACGCUGAGAUGCGAAAGCAAGGGGAGCAAACAGG
This 253-nucleotide ribosomal RNA is filed under the name uncultured bacterium. RNAcentral's name for it is "partial 16S ribosomal RNA". It matches the Rfam family "Bacterial small subunit ribosomal RNA", at positions 524 to 776 of the family's 1533-position model. The record is from RNAcentral.